Molecule: ribosomal RNA, 165 nt
Filed under: Amomum trianthemum
Lineage: Eukaryota; Viridiplantae; Streptophyta; Magnoliopsida; Zingiberales; Zingiberaceae
Description: 5.8S ribosomal RNA
Rfam family: 5.8S ribosomal RNA (bases 1-138)
About the family: 5.8S ribosomal RNA (5.8S rRNA) is a component of the large subunit of the eukaryotic ribosome. It is transcribed by RNA polymerase I as part of the 45S precursor that also contains 18S and 28S rRNA.
Source: RNAcentral
UCUCGGCUCUUGCAUCGAUGAAGAACGUAGUGAAAUGCGAUACUUGGUGUGAAUUGCAGAAUCUCGUGAACCAUUGAGUCUUUGAACGCAAGUUGUGCCCGAGGUCUUGUGGCCGAGGGCACGCCUGCUUGGGCGUCAUGGCAUCGUCGCCUUUGCUCCUUGCUU